GCGUGAGGAUCUGCCCUCAGGAGGGGGACAACGACUGGAAACGGUCGCUAAUACCCCAUAUGCCGAGAGGUGAAAUGUUUUUUCGCCUGAGGAUGAGCUCGCGUCAGAUUAGCUAGUUGGUGGGGUAACGGCCUACCAAGGCGACGAUCUGUAGCUGGUCUGAGAGGAUGAUCAGCCACACUGGGACUGAGACACGGCCCAGACUCCUACGGGAGGCAGCAGUGGGGAAUUUUCCGCAAUGGGCGAAAGCCUGACGGAGCAAGACCGCGUGGGGGAAGAAGGCUCUUGGGUUGUAAACCCCUUUUCUCUGGGAAGAACGCAAUGACGGUACCAGAGGAAUCAGCAUCGGCUAACUCCGUGCCAGCAGCCGCGGUAAUACGGGGGAUGCAAGCGUUAUCCGGAAUUAUUGGGCGUAAAGCGUCCGCAGGUGGUUUAUCAAGUCUGCUGUUAAAAUCGUAGGGCUUAACCCUAUAAAGGCAGUGGAAACUGAGAGACUAGAGUAUGGUAGGGGUAGCGGGAAUUCCCAGUGUAGCGGUGAAAAUGCGUAGAUAUUGGGAAGAACACCAGCGGCGAAGGCGCGCUACUGGGCCAAAACUGACACUCAUGGACGAAAGCUAGGGGAGCGAAAGGGAUUAGAUACCCCUGUAGUCCUAGCUGUAAACGAUGACAACUAGGUGUUGCGCGUAUCGACCCGAGCCGUGCCGAA
RNAcentral lists this ribosomal RNA (706 nucleotides) under cyanobacterium enrichment culture clone 2_10_2.2.5_C10-T7. Its description in RNAcentral is "bacterial SSU rRNA". It matches the Rfam family "Bacterial small subunit ribosomal RNA", at positions 115 to 850 of the family's 1533-position model. Lineage: Bacteria; Bacillati; Cyanobacteriota. The record is from RNAcentral.